UUCUGUCUGUAAUUCAACGUGGAAAAAAUAUUAUUGUUAUAUUUUCAUCAAUAGGGACACGUAUAUAUACAUAUAUAGGAUACUAUAAACCUAUUAGGAUGAUUCAUCAAUAGGGACACAUAUACAUAUACAAGAUACUAUACACCUAUUAGGAAUCUAACUCCUAACAGAGCUCUAUUUACAACUAGUACCCAAAUUGUUACAAAGAUAGUUAACCCGAGGUCCAUUUAGAGCUUUUGUAAAGAUAUCUCUUAAUUGUUCACUUGAUUUAACCUGCCCUGUAGAGAUAACACCCUGUUGUAUCUUUU
This 308-nucleotide long non-coding RNA is filed under the name Jatropha curcas. RNAcentral's name for it is "long non-coding RNA (JCUR_LNC002953)". Lineage: Eukaryota; Viridiplantae; Streptophyta; Magnoliopsida; Malpighiales; Euphorbiaceae. The record is from RNAcentral.